UUCCACUUUCCUUUUUGUUAACUAAUUCAUAGGUCAAACAUUUUUUUGAGCGAGUAUGUGCUAGCUCUUUGAUGGAUGCUGGGAGAUAGCGUUAAAGGAGUCAUGUUGUUGCUAUCAAUGAGCUCAUAGCCAAGGGGAAGAGGCAAAUACAUAAAAGAAUUCCAGUAUACUUUAAUGAGGCUUGAAAGAUAUGUGGACAGAAACGUGUGAGGGAACUAACAGCAUGUAUCCCUAAAUGAAUUUGAGGGAAAAGCAGGGAGAAAAAUGGAAAACUUUGCAGAUGAAAUGGCACUGGAAGUUAGGCAGGUGGGAGCAUCUUCAACAGAAGCACUAGUAAGUGCAAACACUUGGAGAGUGAGAACAUGGCCAAGCGGGGUGAUGAGAAGUAAUUCAGUAUUGUUGUAGUGUAAAGUGUGUGGUGGCAAGUGUUAGGAUAUGAGAAAGAUAGAUGGGGCAAGAUCAUGUAGAGUUGAAUUUUAUUUUUUAAGCGAUUUUAGUGUCGUAAGAUUAUCAGAAGCGUAGUGACAUGAUCAGAUUUAUGUUUCAGAAAAUAAGUCUGUUGUGAAGGAGGAUCUGAAAUAAGAAGUUAACAGCAUUAAUAUUUAAAAGCUGCUAAAGGUUUACUCCAGUGCAUUUCAUACAUCAUCUCAAUCCUUACAAAAAGGCUAUGACAUCACAACUAAAAUCAUUCCUUUUUAGAUUAAAAAUGGGCACAGAGAGCUCAAGUACUUUGCCAAACGGUUAUGUGGUGAGUUAUAUAACUAAUGUGGUGAAGCUGAGAUUUGAAUCCAGGUAGUCUAACAGCAGAGUUUGGAUGCUUAAUUGCUGUGCCUUACAAGGGGCCGGACAAAGGGCAAGUUAGGAUUCCACGGAGAUCAUCUAAGUAAUGAAUGAUCAGGGCUUGCACUAAGGCAGUGGCAACAGUGUUGUAAGGUGGAGCACAUGUCUGGCGAUUUUGAGGAAGCAGAAUUCACAGGACAUGAUUGACUAUAGAGGAGUAAGGGAGUGAGGAUCCGGGAUGACUGUCUGGUUCCUAGUUGGUUUCUUGUAGGAGACCCGUUCACUAAGGCAGAAGACAUGUGAAGAAAUGAGGUUUGGAAAAAGAGGGGGACAUAAUCAGGUCAGUUUUGGAUGUGCUUGAGUUGGACAAACCAAAUGGAGAAAUCUAGAAAGCAACUGGGCCUGAAGGUGAGGAGAGAACAGAAGCCAGAGGGGUGAUGAGAUUCCUGAGGGGAUGGGCAAGGAGGAGAAGAUCCGUGAAGGCAGGGCUCAGAUACCCCCUGCAACUGUCUCCCACCUUGAAGGGAUAAGCAGAGAAAUACAAGCUAUCUACCAGAAUAUCAGACCUAGUGAUCAUUUAUUUAACAAAAUGAUAGUAAAGAAACAAAUGACUGAAGAUUCAUGCAGUUUAGAUU
Molecule: long non-coding RNA, 1415 nt
Filed under: Homo sapiens (human)
Lineage: Eukaryota; Metazoa; Chordata; Mammalia; Primates; Hominidae
Description: non-protein coding lnc-FGF9-10:1
Source: RNAcentral